GGGGAGCAAUCCCUGAGUAAAGUGGCGCACGGGUGAGUAACACGUGAAUAAUCUACCUCCGAGUGGGGAAUAACUGAGAGAAAUCUUAGCUAAUACCGCAUAAUACCCACGGGUCAAAGCAGCAAUGCGCUUGGAGAGGAGUUCGCGGCCGAUUAGCUAGUUGGCGGGGUAAUGGCCCACCAAGGCGAUGAUCGGUAUCCGGCCUGAGAGGGCGCACGGACACACUGGAACUGAAACACGGUCCAGACUCCUACGGGAGGCAGCAGUGGGGAAUUUUGCGCAAUGGGGGAAACCCUGACGCAGCAACGCCGCGUGGAGGAUGAAGCCCCUUGGGGUGUAAACUCCUUUCGAUCGGGAAGAUGAUGACGGUACCGAUAUAAGAAGCCCCGGCUAACUUCGUGCCAGCAGCCGCGGUAAUACGAGGGGGGCAAGCGUUGUUCGGAAUUAUUGGGCGUAAAGGGUGCGUAGGCGGUUUGACAAGUCUGAUGUGAAAUCUAUGGGCUCAACCCAUAGUCUGCAUCGGAAACUGUCGGGCUUGAGUAUGGGAGAGGUGAGUGGAAUUUCCGGUGUAGCGGUGAAAUGCGUAGAUAUCGGAAGGAACACCUGUGGCGAA
Molecule: ribosomal RNA, 613 nt
Filed under: uncultured Acidobacteriota bacterium
Lineage: Bacteria; Pseudomonadati; Acidobacteriota
Description: bacterial SSU rRNA
Rfam family: Bacterial small subunit ribosomal RNA
Source: RNAcentral